AGUGAACGCUGGCGGUAGGCCUAACACAUGCAAGUCGAACGGCAGCACAGUAAGAGCUUGCUCUUACGGGUGGCGAGUGGCGGACGGGUGAGGAAUACAUCGGAAUCUACUUUUUCGUGGGGGAUAACGUAGGGAAACUUACGCUAAUACCUCAUACGACCUACGGGUGAAAGCAGGGGAUCUUCGGACCUUGCGCGAUUGAAUGAGCCGAUGUCGGAUUAGCUAGUUGGCGGGGUAAAGGCCCACCAAGGCGACGAUCCGUAGCUGGUCUGAGAGGAUGAAGCGCCACACUGGAACUGAGACACGGUCCAGACUCCGACGGGAGGCAGCAGUGGGGAAUAUUGGACAAUGGGCGGAAGACUGCUCCAGCCAUACCGCGUGGGUGAAGAAGGCCUUCGGGUUGUAAAGCCCUUUUGUCGGGAAAGAAAAGCAGCAGGUGAAUACCCCGCUGUUCUGACGGUACCCAAAGAAUAAGCACCGGCUAACUUCGUG
Molecule: ribosomal RNA, 492 nt
Filed under: uncultured bacterium
Lineage: Bacteria
Description: partial 16S ribosomal RNA
Rfam family: Bacterial small subunit ribosomal RNA
Source: RNAcentral